This 332-nucleotide unclassified non-coding RNA is filed under the name soil metagenome. RNAcentral's name for it is "partial contains 5.8S ribosomal RNA, internal transcribed spacer 2, and large subunit ribosomal RNA". The stretch from base 1 to 120 matches the Rfam family "5.8S ribosomal RNA", at positions 35 to 154 of the family's 154-position model. The record is from RNAcentral.
GAUGAAGAACGUAGCGAAAUGCGAUACGUAAUGUGAAUUGCAGAUUUCAGUGAAUCAUCGAAUCUUUGAACGCACAUUGCGCCCGCUAGUAUUCUGGCGGGCAUGCCUGUUCGAGCGUCAUUUCAACCAUCAAGCCCUAGGCUUGCGUUGGAGCCCUGCGGCUGCCGCAGGCUCCCAAAUCCAGUGGCGGGCUCGUCGUCGUACCGAGUGCAGUAAACAUCCUCGCUCAGGGAACGUGACGGGUUCUUGCCGUGAAACCCCCCACAUAUCUAGGUUGACCUCGGAUCAGGUAGGAAUACCCGCUGAACUUAAGCAUAUCAAUAAGCGGAGGA